Molecule: ribosomal RNA, 315 nt
Filed under: uncultured Tomentella
Lineage: Eukaryota; Fungi; Basidiomycota; Agaricomycetes; Thelephorales; Thelephoraceae
Description: eukaryotic LSU rRNA
Source: RNAcentral
AACGCACCUUGCGCCCCUUGGCUAUUCCGAGGGGCAUGCCUGUUUGAGUAUCAUGAACACCUCAACUCUCACGGUUUGCUGUGAUGGGCUUGGACUCUGGGGGUUUUGCUGGCCUCUGGUCGGCUCCUCUCAAAUGAAUCAGCUUGCCAGUAUCUGGUGGCAUCGUGGGUGUGAUAACUAUCUACGCUCAUGGCUGUCUGCUGGGGUAACCUUCAGCGAUGGAGGUUUGCUGGGGCUCACAAACGUCUCUCUUUUGCAGGGACAGCUUUUUAGACGUUCGAUCUCAAAUCAGGUAGGACUACCCGCUGAACUUAA